RNAcentral lists this ribosomal RNA (437 nucleotides) under uncultured Oscillospiraceae bacterium. Its description in RNAcentral is "partial 16S ribosomal RNA". It matches the Rfam family "Bacterial small subunit ribosomal RNA", at positions 341 to 792 of the family's 1533-position model. The record is from RNAcentral. Lineage: Bacteria; Bacillati; Bacillota; Clostridia; Eubacteriales; Oscillospiraceae.
ACGGGAGGCAGCAGUGGGGAAUAUUGGGCAAUGGGCGAAAGCCUGACCCAGCAACGCCGCGUGAAGGAAGAAGGUCUUCGGAUUGUAAACUUCUUUUAUGAGGGACGAAGGACGUGACGGUACCUCAUGAAUAAGCCACGGCUAACUACGUGCCAGCAGCCGCGGUAAUACGUAGGUGGCAAGCGUUAUCCGGAUUUACUGGGUGUAAAGGGCGCGUAGGCGGGGAUGCAAGUCAGAUGUGAAAUCCAUGGGCUUAACUCAUGAACUGCAUUUGAAACUGUAUCUCUUGUGUGCUGGAGAGGUAGAUGGAAUUCCUUGUGUAGCGGUGAAAUGCGUAGAUAUAAGGAAGAACACCAGUGGCGAAGGCGAUCUACUGGACAGUAACUGACGCUGAGGCGCGAAAGCGUGGGGAGCAAACAGGAUUAGAUACCCUGGUA